UGGCUUAACAAGUCAUAGCUAUGCUGCAGUUUCCUACUGCUCGAACCUCAAUAUCUGCCCAAUAUUAAAUGGAAUCCCCAUCAUCUAUGGGUAUAAGUGCUUUUUUUAAUCCUACUACGUACAACUUCCACCAUAAUCCUAACAAAUGGUUUUUUAGAUUCUGGUAUUACCUCUCAUAUCUCUUCCACAUUAGAUAUUUUUCAGUAAUUUUUGUUCUUAACAAGAGUCUAUUUUUUGUAAUCCAGGACAACCAAGUUUUGAGGAAGAUUGUUAUGGUUGAAUUACACCAGGGCCUCUUCUUCCUUGAGACGUGAUGGCACAAUGCCUCAAUCAAAAUCCUG
Molecule: long non-coding RNA, 341 nt
Filed under: Glycine max (soybean)
Lineage: Eukaryota; Viridiplantae; Streptophyta; Magnoliopsida; Fabales; Fabaceae
Description: long non-coding RNA (GMAX_LNC001698)
Source: RNAcentral